CCUACGGGUGGCUGCAGUGGGGAAUAUUGGGCAAUGGGCGCAAGCCUGACCCAGCAACGCCGCGUGAAGGAAGAAGGCUUUCGGGUUGUAAACUUCUUUUAUUGAGGACGAAACAAAUGACGGUACUCAAUGAAUAAGCCACGGCUAACUACGUGCCAGCAGCCGCGGUACUACGUAGGUGGCAGGCGUUAUCCGGAUUUACUGGGUGUACAGGGCGGGUAGGCGGAACUGCAAGUCAGAUGUGAAAACCAUGGGCUCAAACCAUGGCCUGCAUUUGAUACGGUAGUUCUUGAGUGAUGGAGAGGCAGGUGGAAUGCCGUGUGUAGCGGUGAAAUGCGUAGAUAUACGGAGGAACACCAGUGGCGAAGGCGGCCUGUUGGACAUUAACUGACGCUGAGGCGCGAAAGCGUGGGGAGCAAACAGGAUUAGAUACCCCUGUAGUC
RNAcentral lists this ribosomal RNA (443 nucleotides) under uncultured bacterium. RNAcentral's name for it is "partial 16S ribosomal RNA". It matches the Rfam family "Bacterial small subunit ribosomal RNA", at positions 338 to 795 of the family's 1533-position model. The record is from RNAcentral.